CAAAAAGUCACUUUUUUUGUUUCAUUUUCUUCUCUUUCAUUUCCGUGCUUGCCUCUUUUCCUGAACUUGUUUCUUCCAGUGUGUCACACUGUGGAUGUCUUCCGUCACACCACUCCCACUCCUGCCACAGCAUCUGGGGCAGGGCCGCAUGCGCGAUAAAUACUAACAUACUUGACAUGAACACCAGAGACAUAAACUGGCUUGUGGUUUCCUGCAAAAAAUGGUUUCUGCUGCUUUGCCGAGAUCUAUAUAGGGAAGAAAACUGCAAAUGGCUAUUACAGGUGAGAAGUUUGCCGCCAGCUGUAUCCUGUUAUCCAAAGGAAACGGAACUGUAGGCUGCCAGGAGGUCCAGGCACAGGAGAGCAAGACCAUCAAUUCAGGUGAAACUGAGUCGGCCCUCAAACGCUCAGAUGAGGAAAUACCUACGCAUCUUGAAAAUGUAACUUAUGUAACAGUUGUGGCUAAUUCUGUUU
This 473-nucleotide long non-coding RNA is filed under the name Ursus maritimus (polar bear). RNAcentral's name for it is "lncRNA (ENSUMAG00000000556.1)". Lineage: Eukaryota; Metazoa; Chordata; Mammalia; Carnivora; Ursidae. The record is from RNAcentral.